GCAUAUCAAUAAGCGGAGGAAAAGAAACCAACAGGGAUUGCCCUAGUAACGGCGAAGUGAAGCGGCAACAGCUCAAAUUUGAAAUCUGGCCCUCGGGUCCGAAUUGUAAUUUGUAGAGGAUGUUUUUGGUGCGGUAUCUUCCGAGUUCCUUGGAACAGGACGCCUUAGAGGGUGAGAGCCCCGUACGGUUGAAUGCCUAGCCUUUGUAAAACUCCUUCGACGAGUCGAGUAGUUUGGGAAUGCUGCUCUAAAUGGGAGGUAAAUUUCUUCUAAAGCUAAAUACCGGCCAGAGACCGAUAGCGCACAAGUAGAGUGAUCGAAAGAUGAAAAGCACUUUGAAAAGAGGGUUAAAUAGCACGUGAAAUUGUUGAAAGGGAAGGAUUUAUGACCAGACUUUUUCUAGGCGAAUCAUCCGGUGUUCUCACCGGUGCACUUCGUUUAGUUUAGGCCAGCAUCGAUUUUCGGGGUGGGAUAAAAGCUUCAGGAAUGUGGCUCCCUCGGGAGUGUUAUAGCCUGUUGCAUAAUACCGCCCUGGGGAUCGAGGUACGCGCUUCUGCAAGGAUGCUGGCGUAAUGGUUAUCAAUCACCCGUCUUGAAACACGGACCAAGGAGUCGAACAUUUGUGCAAGUGUUUGGGUGUUAAACCCUCACGCGUAAUGAAAGUGAACGGAGGUGAGAGCCCUUACGGGUGCAUCAUCGACCGAUCCUGAUGUCUUCGGAUGGAUUUGAGUAAGAGCAUAACUGUUCGGACCCGAAAGAUGGUGAACUAUGCGUGGAUAGGGUGAAGCCAGAGGAAACUCUGGUGGAGGCUCGCAGCGGUUCUGACGUGCAAAUCGAUCGUCAAAUCUGCGCAUGGGGGCGAAAGACUAAUCGAACCAUCUAGUAGCUGGUUACCGCCGA
This 900-nucleotide ribosomal RNA is filed under the name Diploceras hypericinum. Its description in RNAcentral is "LSU rRNA". It matches the Rfam family "Eukaryotic large subunit ribosomal RNA", at positions 38 to 964 of the family's 3401-position model. The record is from RNAcentral. Lineage: Eukaryota; Fungi; Ascomycota; Sordariomycetes; Amphisphaeriales; Sporocadaceae.